Molecule: ribosomal RNA, 492 nt
Filed under: uncultured bacterium
Lineage: Bacteria
Description: partial 16S ribosomal RNA
Rfam family: Bacterial small subunit ribosomal RNA
Source: RNAcentral
AGUGAACGCUGGCGGUAGGCCUAACACAUGCAAGUCGAACGGCAGCACAGUAAGAGCUUGCUCUUACGGGUGGCGAGUGGCGGACGGGUGAGGAAUACAUCGGAAUCUACUUUUUCGUGGGGGAUAACGUAGGGAAACUUACGCUAGUACCGCAUACGACCUACGGGUGAAAGCAGGGGAUCUUCGGACCUUGCGCGAUUGAAUGAGCCGAUGUCGGAUUAGCUAGUUGGCGGGGUAAAGGCCCACCAAGGCGACGAUCCGUAGCUGGUCUGAGAGGAUGAUCAGCCACACUGGAACUGAGACACGGUCCAGACUCCUACGGGAGGCAGCAGUGGGGAAUAUUGGACAAUGGGCGCAAGCCUGAUCCAGCCAUACCGCGUGGGUGAAGAAGGCCUUCGGGUUGUAAAGCCCUUUUGUUCGGAAAGAAAAGCAGCAGGUUAAUACCCCGCUGUUCUGACGGUACCCAAAGAAUAAGCACCGGCUAACUUCGUG